GACGAACGCUGGCGGCGUGCCUAAUACAUGCAGGUCGAGCGAAGUUUUUCUGGUGCUUGCACCGGAAAAACUUAGCGGCGAACGGGUGAGUAACACGUAAAGAACCUGCCUCAUAGACUGGGACAACUAUUGGAAACGAUAGCUAAUACCGGAUAAUAGCAUUAACUGCAUGGUUGAUGUUUAAAAGUUGGUUUUGCUAACACUAUGAGAUGGCUUUGCGGUGCAUUAGCUAGUUGGUGGGGUAAAGGCCUACCAAGGCGACGAUGCAUAGCCGACCUGAGAGGGUGAUCGGCCACACUGGGACUGAGACACGGCCCAGACUCCUACGGGAGGCAGCAGUAGGGAAUCUUACGCAAUGGGCGAAAGCCUGACGGAGCAACGCCGCGUGAGUGAAGAAGGAUUUCGGUUCGUAAAGCUCUGUUGUUAGGGAAGAAUGAUUGUGUAGUAACUAUACACAGUAGAGACGGUACCUAACCAGAAAGCCACGGCUAACUACGUG
RNAcentral lists this ribosomal RNA (499 nucleotides) under uncultured bacterium. Its description in RNAcentral is "partial 16S ribosomal RNA". It matches the Rfam family "Bacterial small subunit ribosomal RNA", at positions 28 to 507 of the family's 1533-position model. The record is from RNAcentral.